AAAUUGAAGAGUUUGAUCAUGGCUCAGAUUGAACGCUGGCGGCAGGCCUAACACAUGCAAGUCGAACGGUAACAGGAAGCAGCUUGCUGCUUCGCUGACGAGUGGCGGACGGGUGAGUAAUGUCUGGGAAACUGCCUGAUGGAGGGGGAUAACUACUGGAAACGGUGGCUAAUACUGCAUAACGUCGCAAGACCAAAGAGGGGGACCUUCGGGCCUCUUGCCAUCAGAUGUGCCCAGAUGGGAUUAGCU
RNAcentral lists this ribosomal RNA (249 nucleotides) under Salmonella enterica. RNAcentral describes it as "partial 16S ribosomal RNA". It matches the Rfam family "Bacterial small subunit ribosomal RNA", at positions 1 to 246 of the family's 1533-position model. RNAcentral also lists the same sequence under 1 other name. The record is from RNAcentral. Lineage: Bacteria; Pseudomonadati; Pseudomonadota; Gammaproteobacteria; Enterobacterales; Enterobacteriaceae.